Molecule: ribosomal RNA, 110 nt
Filed under: Microcebus murinus (gray mouse lemur)
Lineage: Eukaryota; Metazoa; Chordata; Mammalia; Primates; Cheirogaleidae
Source: RNAcentral
GUCUACAGCCCUACCACCAUGAAUGCGCCCGAUCUCAUGAAGCUAAGCAGGGCUGGGCCUGGUUAGUACUUGAAUGGGAGACCACCUGCGAAUACUGGGUGCUGUAGGCU